UAUGCUCGAAGGUUCUUAGAUUUGAGUCGGUAUUUCCCUGAGAGCAUGAUGGACGAAGGCAUAAAGGCAAAAAAGUUCGAAUGGGGCCUCUGUCCUGAUAUCAGACAGUAGUUGUACGUAUUUGAACUCAGUACCUACUCAGCCGUUCUGGUCAAGGCACAGCUAGUAGAGAGGAACCUUCACAUCUUUUCUCUAGCAAUGGAGAAUCCCAUACCCCCGGUUUCACAUUGUAGACCAGCACCCACUACACCGAUUCAGUAGAACAAGAGGCCUAGGCCAGUGACUCAGGCU
Molecule: long non-coding RNA, 291 nt
Filed under: Carica papaya (papaya)
Lineage: Eukaryota; Viridiplantae; Streptophyta; Magnoliopsida; Brassicales; Caricaceae
Description: long non-coding RNA (CPAP_LNC001628)
Source: RNAcentral